Molecule: unclassified non-coding RNA, 315 nt
Filed under: plant metagenome
Description: partial contains 5.8S ribosomal RNA, internal transcribed spacer 2, and large subunit ribosomal RNA
Rfam family: 5.8S ribosomal RNA (bases 1-105)
Source: RNAcentral
GAACUGCGAUAAGUAAUGUGAAUUGCAGAAUUCAGUGAAUCAUCGAGUCUUUGAACGCACAUUGCGCCCCCUGGCAUUCCGGGGGGCAUGCCUGUCCGAGCGUCAUUGCUGCCCUUCAAGCCCGGCUUGUGUGUUGGGUCGUCGUCCCCUCCGGGGGACGGACCCGAAAGGCAGCGGCGGCACCGCGUCCGGUCCUCGAGCGUAUGGGGCUUUGUCACCCGCUCGAUAAGGACCGGCCGGGCGCCAGCCGGCGUCUCCAACCUUUUUUUCUCAGGUUGACCUCGGAUCAGGUAGGGAUACCCGCUGAACUUAAGC